This 253-nucleotide ribosomal RNA is filed under the name uncultured bacterium. Its description in RNAcentral is "partial 16S ribosomal RNA". It matches the Rfam family "Bacterial small subunit ribosomal RNA", at positions 524 to 776 of the family's 1533-position model. The record is from RNAcentral.
UACGUAGGCAGCGAGCGUUGUUCGGAGUUACUGGGCGUAAAGGGUGCGUAGGCGGUUGUUUAAGUUUGGUGUGAAAUCUCCCGGCUCAACUGGGAGGGUGCGCCGAAUACUGAAUGACUCGAGUGCGGGAAAGGAGAGUGGAAUUCCUGGUGUAGCGGUGAAAUGCGUAGAUAUCAGGAGGAACACCGGUGGUGUAGACGGCUCUCUGGACCGUAACUGACGCUGAGGCACGAAAGCGUGGGUAGCAAACAGG